UGCAGUCGAACGCUGAAGGGUGCUUGCACCUGGAUGAGUGGCGGACGGGUGAGUAAUGCAUAGGAAUCUGCCUAUUAGUGGGGGAUAACGUGGGGAAACUCACGCUAAUACCGCAUACGAUCUACGGAUGAAAGCAGGGGACCUUCGGGCCUUGCGCUAAUAGAUGAGCCUAUGUCGGAUUAGCUAGUUGGUAGGGUAAAGGCCUACCAAGGCGACGAUCCGUAGCUGGUCUGAGAGGAUGAUCAGCCACACUGGGACUGAGACACGGCCCAGACUCCUACGGGAGGCAGCAGUGGGGAAUAUUGGACAAUGGGCGAAAGCCUGAUCCAGCAAUACCGCGUGUGUGAAGAAGGCCUGAGGGUUGUAAAGCACUUUCAAUGGGAAGGAAUACCUAUCGGUUAAUACCCGGUAGACUGACAUUACCCAUACAAGAAGCACCGGCUAACUCCGUGCCAGCAGCCGCGGUAAUACGGAGGGUGCGAGCGUUAAUCGGAAUUACUGGGCGUAAAGCGUGCGUAGGCGGUUGUUUAAGUCAGAUGUGAAAGCCCUGGGCUUAACCUGGGAACUGCAUUUGAUACUGGACGACUAGAGUUUAGUAGAGGGGAGUGGAAUUUCAGGUGUAGCGGUGAAAUGCGUAGAGAUCUGAAGGAACACCAGUGGCGAAGGCGGCUCCCUGGACUAAAACUGACGCUGAGGUACGAAAGCGUGGGUAGCAAACAGGAUUAGAUACCCUGUAGUCCACGCCGUAAACGAUGUCAACUAACCGUUGGGUUCUUAAAGAACUUAGUGGUGGAGCUAACGUAUUAUUGACCGCCUGGGGAGUACGGCGCAAGGCUAAAACUCAAAUGAAUGACGGGGGCCCGCACAAGCGGU
RNAcentral lists this ribosomal RNA (873 nucleotides) under uncultured Methylomonas sp. RNAcentral describes it as "bacterial SSU rRNA". It matches the Rfam family "Bacterial small subunit ribosomal RNA", at positions 56 to 933 of the family's 1533-position model. Lineage: Bacteria; Pseudomonadati; Pseudomonadota; Gammaproteobacteria; Methylococcales; Methylococcaceae. The record is from RNAcentral.